Long non-coding RNA from Hyaena hyaena (striped hyena), 220 nucleotides. RefSeq lists it as uncharacterized. NCBI's taxonomy places the organism in Eukaryota, Metazoa, Chordata, Mammalia, Carnivora, Hyaenidae. The transcript has 2 exons. The record is from RefSeq and is a predicted model, not a curated record.
GUAAUGAGCAGUGUUUACCUUAAGGACCUGAGAACACAUUGAGGGAAAACAGAAGCAUGAAGUGGCUAAUGCUUUGCCACGUGGGAAAUUCACUGAGAGGUCCAAAAGACGGACUACGAGAACAGUUGAAAGGAAACUUCAUUUGGCCAAGUUCACUUCCAAAUACACUUUUCUGCAUCUCUUGUCUCAAACCUGAGUAAUGAACAGCUCAUUCUUCACA